This 403-nucleotide ribosomal RNA is filed under the name uncultured bacterium. RNAcentral describes it as "bacterial SSU rRNA". It matches the Rfam family "Bacterial small subunit ribosomal RNA", at positions 32 to 417 of the family's 1533-position model. The record is from RNAcentral.
AAUCAACGCUGGCGGCGUGCCUAACACAUGCAAGUCGAACGCGAAAGUCCCGCAAGGGAUUAGUAGAGUGGCAAACGGGUGAGUAACACGUGGGUGACCUGCCUUCGAGCGGGGGAUAACGUCCCGAAAGGGACGCUAAUACCGCAUAACAUCCUGCCUUUUAACAGGCGGUGAUCAAAGCCGGGGAUUCGCAAGAACCUGGCACUUGAAGAGGGGCCCGCGCCUGAUUAGCUAGUUGGGGGGUAAUGGCCUACCAAGGCAACGAUCAGUAUCCGGCCUGAGAGGGCGGACGGACACACUGGGACUGAGACACGGCCCAGACUCCUACGGGAGGCAGCAGUGGGGAAUUGUUCGCAAUGGGCGCAAGCCUGACGACGCAACGCCGCGUGGAGGAUGAAGACCU